UUUUUAUUAAAAUUAUUUUAUUUAAAAUAUUGUUUUGUUUUAGAUGACUUCACUAUUGCUCUGUGGUUGAAGGAUAUGUUGACUUCUAAGCCCUGGAUUGACCCAAAGGUGAUGUGUAUUCUGAGAGGUCACAAUGGAGGGGUCACAUGCCUUGCUUUCAGUCCUGAUGGGAAAGAGUUGCUGUCAGGAGGAAAAGAUCAGGUACUUGCUCCACUGCCUAUUCAUUACUGGAAGAAAUUGAAGAAAAUACACAAUUUCUGUCAUACUCAAUUUAAUCACAAUCUUUUCUAAUAGGCUUUGAUGAUAUGGAAGGUAAACGCUUCUCCUCCAGUUCUUUCCCAGUCCAUUUCCAAUUGCCAUGGAGACUGGAUUACAGGAUGUGCUUGGACAUCAUCUGCUGUGGUGAGAAAGCCAUUUACAAAGUGCUGUUUAGUUCAUGUUAUCAGCAUCUGACUCUGUGUGUCUGUAACUGAAUACAAAACCUCUCUGUCACCUCAGCUCAGCUGCUCCAGUAAGCUGCGGAUGUGGGAUAUCCAAACAGGACGUUUGUUGAGAGAGAUCCUCUCUAGUUCAUCGCUGAGCACAUUGUGCUGUUGGGAGGAUUAUGUAAUGGCAGGCUCCACAGAUGGACUGCUGAUGGUUUGGAAGUGGGAAUCAGGGGUAGAAAUCACCAGGAUCCAGGCCCACAAGUCACGUCUCCAUCACUGCACUGUUGUCUCAGAUCUGGAAAAGAAUUUGAAACCAGAAGACUUACUGGUAGCUUCAGCAUCAGAAGAUGGAACUGUUAAACUCUGGCAUCCACUGCAGGUACAGCAUCACAACACUCUGCAUGGACACAGUGCAGAAAUCCAGUCUUUAGUGUGCAAAAAGACCGGACCGCCGGAGUUUCUCACUGUCUCAGCUGAUCGUUCCCUCAGGUCAUGGAGCGUCACCACAGCAAUGGGUAUGACAGAAU
This 955-nucleotide long non-coding RNA is filed under the name Sinocyclocheilus grahami. Its description in RNAcentral is "lncRNA (ENSSGRG00000039722.1)". The record is from RNAcentral. Lineage: Eukaryota; Metazoa; Chordata; Actinopteri; Cypriniformes; Cyprinidae.